AGCGUAUAUUAAAGUUGUUGCAGUUAAAAAGCUCGUAGUUGAAUUUCGGGAUCAAUACGUCGGUCGAGCUUUCGGGUACGUACUGGCGUCAUUGGUUUCUCCUUUCUGACGAACCAUGAUGUCAUUAAUCUGGUGUUAUGGGGAGUUAGGACUGUUACUUUGAAAAAAUUAGAGUGUUUAAAGCAGGCAUUAGCUUGAAUACAUUAGCAUGGAAUAAUGAAAUAGGACGUUCGAUCCUAUUUUGUUGGUUUCUAGGAUCAACGUAAUGAUUAAUAGGGAUAGUUGGGGGCAUUAGUAUUCAAUUGUCAGAGGUGAAAUUCUUGGACUUAUUGAAGACUAACUACUGCGAAAGCAUUUGCCAAGGAUGUUUUCAUUAAUCAAGAACGAAAGUUAGGGGAUCGAAGACGAUCAGAUACCGUCGUAGUCUUAACCAUAAACUAUGCCGACUAGGGAUCGGAUGAUGUUAAUUUUUUAAUGACUCAUUC
RNAcentral lists this ribosomal RNA (485 nucleotides) under uncultured Glomeromycotina. Its description in RNAcentral is "SSU rRNA". It matches the Rfam family "Eukaryotic small subunit ribosomal RNA", at positions 596 to 1081 of the family's 1831-position model. The record is from RNAcentral. Lineage: Eukaryota; Fungi; Glomeromycota.